AUUGAACGCUGGCGGCAGGCCUAACACAUGCAAGUCGAGCGGAUGAAGGGAGCUUGCUCCUGGAUUCAGCGGCGGACGGGUGAGUAAUGCCUAGGAAUCUGCCUGGUAGUGGGGGAUAACGUCCGGAAACGGGCGCUAAUGCCGCAUACGUCCUGAGGGAGAAAGUGGGGGAUCUUCGGACCUCACGCUAUCAGAUGAGCCUAGGUCGGAUUAGCUAGUUGGUGGGGUAAAGGCCUACCAAGGCGACGAUCCGUAACUGGUCUGAGAGGAUGAUCAGUCACACUGGAACUGAGACACGGUCCAGACUCCUACGGGAGGCAGCAGUGGGGAAUAUUGGACAAUGGGCGAAAGCCUGAUCCAGCCAUGCCGCGUGUGUGAAGAAGGUCUUCGGAUUGUAAAGCACUUUAAGUUGGGAGGAAGGGCAGUAAGUUAAUACCUUGCUGUUUUGACGGUACCAACAGAAUAAGCACCGGCUAACUUCGUG
This 484-nucleotide ribosomal RNA is filed under the name uncultured bacterium. RNAcentral's name for it is "partial 16S ribosomal RNA". It matches the Rfam family "Bacterial small subunit ribosomal RNA", at positions 30 to 507 of the family's 1533-position model. The record is from RNAcentral.